GAACAGACCUGCUGCUGCUAGAAGCCAAGCUGGAGUCUGGUCUCUUUGGGCCAGGGAUUUGCAGGAGUUGUUAGGCGCAGUUCUCACCAGUUCUUGGCACCACGAUUUACAAGCCACAUGGAAUACGGAGGAUGGGAACCAGGAUGGUCGAAUCAUACAAGAACCUUGCGAGAACUGAGUGUAGCCUACAAAGGGUACAGCCGAGGGAGUAGACGCUUCUUCGGGUAUAGUUAAGAUGGUUGUGAAGGACCAGGGAUUCGCUCCAACCGUGCAGAGGCCAAUAACCCGAUAUGGAGCAUGCGUUUACCCCGUUGGAACCCCUGCUUCCCACUGGGAAUUUGAAAUACUGCCUUGUGAUCCUGAAUCAGCCUUUGGAUAAAUAUUUUCGUCAUCUUUGGAGCAAAGCUUUUUGCCUGAAUUCAUCAAUGGAGACUUUGAUUCAAUAAGGCCUGAUGUUAGAGAAUACUAUGCUACUAAGGGCUGUGAGCUUAUUUCCACUCCUGAUCAAGACCACACCGACUUUACNAUAA
Molecule: long non-coding RNA, 530 nt
Organism: Hipposideros armiger (great roundleaf bat)
Lineage: Eukaryota; Metazoa; Chordata; Mammalia; Chiroptera; Hipposideridae
Exons: 5
Source: RefSeq, a predicted model, not a curated record